CUAAACCUGUAUCACAGCAGCUACCUGAGCCACAGCAGUGACAAUGCCAGAUCCUUAACCUUCUGAGCCACAAGAGGACUGCUAAUGCUGAGAAUUUCUUUUUAGGUGCCUUUCUCCCUGGAUAUGUACUUAAUCUGCCUCUCUAGGUGUCCAAAACGGCCAUCCACCUGCAUGUGUUCUUAUCAACACCUCACUUGUAGGAACUCAUGCAGCACCUGCCUCCACUCCCCACUCAAGAUGACACUUGGGUGCAGAGACAUAACUUACCUUCACUAAGCUGUGUCUGAAGAUGCAAGUGCUGAAGAUCCCAGUCUCCUCCUGGGCUUUGCUCGGAUGUCACCUGCCUUAUCAGGCCUCUGAACCUACUGAACUUGUAGCUGCUGAGGUACGCCUGGUCCAACUUGAGUUUUAGACAUUGCGAUAAUAUCAGCUGCAGAAAUCCACAACCUCUGGCAUUGUCCCCACCUUCUGAAACCUCCUCAUUCUGAGCCCAGGAGCCUUUUCAGUCUCCUGGUUUCCCAGCUCUGCUCUGAGGUCUUCGGAGCUUCUGGAAUCUUCAUGCCAUGUGCAGGCUUCAGGCACCUGGUAUCCAGCAUCAGACUCAUACAUUUAGAUCCAACCUCUGCCAGGGUCAACCUACUGUUCUUGUGUCAUAUUGGAUGUGAUGAUAUAAUGAACUUCCCCUAAAUAAUACCCCAAGAAACAAGGGAUCUGCCUCAAUACUCCCAGACAAAACUAUCUGCCACAAAAUUACCAGGCUUUUCUACGCCCUAUCUCAACCUGAAGAGUAAGUUCAACAGUUAUAACUCAACCCUUGCCCAUCACCUCCUCUUUCUGGAGUGCCCUCCCUAGUGCUGGAGUGGGUUUCUCGUUUUCUUUCCUGACUCAUAGGAUUUACUUACAUCAGUGCUUCUCCAAUGUUGGUGUGGUUAUAAAUCUGCUGGAGAUGCUAUUAAAUGCAGGUUCUGACUCAAUAGUGAUAAAAUGGGGCCUGAGAAUCUUCAUUUCUUACAAGCUCCCAGGUGGUACCAACCAGGCUGGCCAACCACUACUCUUUCAGAACUCAGGCUGAUCAGUCCUCAUUCACUGGAUUGUAUUUGCUUCUCUUAACUCCACUUUACUGGAUGAUCAGAACAGAGAUGGUGUAGGGAAGGAAAACAGAUGAGCAGUGAGAAAAGGUAUUGGGGUGUUCCACAAAUAUUAUCUCAGUCACACCCAUCAUCACCACGUUUUCUCUCCCACUGGAACCCCACUGAUUCUCUGAGGGUCUUUCUAU
RNAcentral lists this long non-coding RNA (1276 nucleotides) under Sus scrofa (pig). RNAcentral describes it as "lncRNA (ENSSSCG00030072033.1)". The record is from RNAcentral. Lineage: Eukaryota; Metazoa; Chordata; Mammalia; Artiodactyla; Suidae.